CCUACGGGAGGCUGCAGUGGGGAAUAUUGCACAAUGGGCGAAAGCCUGAUGCAGCAACGCCGCGUGAAUGAAGAAGGGUUUCGGCUCGUAAACUUCUAUCAACAGGGACGAAAGAAAUGAUGGUACCUGAAUAAGAAGCCCCGGAUAACUACGUGCCAGCAGCCGUGGUAAGACGUAGGGGGCAAGCGUUAUCCGGAAUUACUGGGUGUAAAGGGUGAGUAGGCGGCAUGGUAAGCCAGAUGUGAAAGCCUUGGGCUUAACCCGAGGAUUGCAUUUGGAACUAGCAAGCUAGAGUGCAGGAGAGGAAAGCGGAACGCCUAGUGUAGCGGUGAAAUGCGUAGAUAUUAGGAAGAACACCGGUGGCGAAGGCGGCUUUCUGGACUGAAACUGACGCUGAGGCACGAAAGCGUGGGGAGCGAACAGGAUUAGAUACCCCUGUAGUC
RNAcentral lists this ribosomal RNA (443 nucleotides) under uncultured bacterium. RNAcentral describes it as "partial 16S ribosomal RNA". It matches the Rfam family "Bacterial small subunit ribosomal RNA", at positions 338 to 795 of the family's 1533-position model. The record is from RNAcentral.